This 450-nucleotide ribosomal RNA is filed under the name uncultured bacterium. Its description in RNAcentral is "partial 16S ribosomal RNA". It matches the Rfam family "Bacterial small subunit ribosomal RNA", at positions 354 to 796 of the family's 1533-position model. The record is from RNAcentral.
GUGGGGAAUUUUGGACAAUGGGCGAAAGCCUGAUCCAGCAAUGCCGCGUGUGUGAAGAAGGCCUUCGGGUUGUAAAGCACUUUUGGCAGGGAAGAAACAGUGCGUGCUAAUACCAUGCGCGAAUGACGGUACCUGCAGAAUAAGCACCGGCUAACUACGUGCCAGCAGCCGCGGUAAUACGUAGGGUGCAAGCGUUAAUCGGAAUUACUGGGCGUAAAGCGUGCGCAGGCGGCUUUGUAAGACGGAUGUGAAAGCCCCGGGCUCAACCUGGGAAGUGCAUUCGUGACUGCAAGGCGAGAGUGUGUCAGAGGGAGGUGGAAUUCCGCGUGUAGCAGUGAAAUGCGUAGAGAUGCGGAGGAACACCGAUGGCGAAGGCAGCCUCCUGGGAUAACACUGACGCUCAGGCACGAAAGCGUGGGGAGCAAACAGGAUUAGAUACCCGGGUAGUCC